RNAcentral lists this ribosomal RNA (493 nucleotides) under uncultured bacterium. RNAcentral describes it as "bacterial SSU rRNA". It matches the Rfam family "Bacterial small subunit ribosomal RNA", at positions 28 to 516 of the family's 1533-position model. The record is from RNAcentral.
GAUUAACGCUAGCGGCAGGCAUAAUACAUGCAAGUUGAACGGGAUAAGUUUUAGCAAUAGAACUUUGAGAGUGGCGCACGGGUGCGUAACACGUAUGCAACCUGCCCCAAACAGGAGGAUAGCCUCUCGAAAGAGAGAUUAAUACUCCAUAAUAAUAUUGUUAGGCAUCUAAUGAUAUUUAAAGCUGAGGCGGUUUGGGAUGGGCAUGCGGUUGAUUAGGUAGUUGGUGAGGUAACGGCUCACCAAGCCAACGAUCAAUAGGGGGUCUGAGAGGAUGUCCCCCCCACACUGGUACUGAGAUACGGACCAGACUCCUACGGGAGGCAGCAGUAGGGAAUAUUGGACAAUGGGGGCAACCCUGAUCCAGCCAUGCCGCGUGCAGGAGACUGCCCUAUGGGUUGUAAACUGCUUUUGUACGGGAAGAAACCUCACUACGUGUAGUGAGUUGACGGUACCGUGAGAAUAAGGAUCGGCUAACUUCGUGCCAGCAGCC